This 272-nucleotide ribosomal RNA is filed under the name uncultured bacterium. Its description in RNAcentral is "partial 16S ribosomal RNA". It matches the Rfam family "Bacterial small subunit ribosomal RNA", at positions 524 to 794 of the family's 1533-position model. The record is from RNAcentral.
UACGGAGGUUCCCAAGCGUUGUUCGGAAUUACUGGGCGUAAAGGGAGCGCAGGCGGACAGGUCAGUUUAAAGUGGAAUCCCAGGGCUCAACCCUGGAAUUGCCUUCGAUACUGGGAGUCUUGAGUUCGGAAGAGGUUGGUGGAACUGCGAGUGUAGAGGUGAAAUUCGUAGAUAUUCGCAAGAACACCGGUGGCGAAGGCGGCCAACUGGUCCGAAACUGACGCUGAGGCGCGAAAGCGUGGGGAGCAAACAGGAUUAGAAACCCUGGUAGU